RNAcentral lists this unclassified non-coding RNA (253 nucleotides) under uncultured Parcubacteria group bacterium. RNAcentral's name for it is "contains 16S-23S intergenic spacer region". It matches the Rfam family "Bacterial small subunit ribosomal RNA", at positions 524 to 776 of the family's 1533-position model. The record is from RNAcentral.
UACAGAAACCCCGAGCGUUACCCGGAUUCACUGGGCGUAAAGGGUGCGUAGGCGGUUAUAUUAGUUAGAUGUUAAAUCUUUGGGCUUAACCCAAAGGCUGCAUUUAAAACGGUAUAACUAGAAGAAGUGAGAGGUGAACAGAACUCUCGGCGUAGGGGUGAAAUCCGUUGAUAUCGAGGGGAAUACCAAAUGCGAAGGCAGUUCACUGACACUUUCUUGACGCUGAGGCACGAAAGCGUGGGUAGCGAACGGG